Molecule: ribosomal RNA, 468 nt
Filed under: uncultured bacterium
Lineage: Bacteria
Description: partial 16S ribosomal RNA
Rfam family: Bacterial small subunit ribosomal RNA
Source: RNAcentral
GACGAACGCUGGCGGCGUGCUUAACACAUGCAAGUCGAACGGAAAGGCCCUGCUUUUGUGGGGUGCUCGAGUGGCGAACGGGUGAGUAACACGUGAGUAACCUGCCCUUGACUUUGGGAUAACUUCAGGAAACUGGGGCUAAUACCGGAUAGGAGCUCCUGCUGCAUGUUGGGGGUUGGAAAGUUUCGGCGGUUGGGGAUGGACUCGCGGCUUAUCAGCUUGUCGGUGGGGUAGUGGCUUACCAAGGCUUUGACGGGUAGCCGGCCUGAGAGGGUGACCGGCCACAUUGGGACUGGGAUACGGCCCAGACUGCUACGGGAGGCAGCAGUGGGGAAUAUUGCACAAUGGGCGGAAGCCUGAUGCAGCAACGCCGCGUGCGGGAUGACGGCCUUCGGGUUGUAAACCGCUUUCGCCUGUGACGAAGCGUGAGUGACGGUAAUGGGUAAAGAAGCACCGGCUAACUACGUG